GAUGAACGCUCGCGGCAGGCUUAAUACAUGCAAGUCGUGGGGCAGCAGGACUGUAGCAAUACAGUUGCUGGCGACCGGAAAACGGGUGCGGAACACGUACGCAACUUACCCUGAACUGGGGGAUCGCCCGGGGAAACCCGGAUUAAUACCCCGUAAUAUAAUGGAGUGGCAUCACUUCAUUAUUAAAGCUCCGGCGGUUCGGGAUGGGCGUGCGGCUGAUUAGGUAGUUGGUUGAGGUAACGGCUCACCAAGCCUACGAUCAGUAACUGGUGUGAGAGCACGACGAGUCACAAGGGCAGUGAGACACGAGCCCGACACCUACGGGCGGAAGCAGUAAGGAAUAUUAAGCAAUGGAGGCAACUCUGACCCAGCCAUGCCGAGUGGAGGAUGAAUGCCCUCCGAGUAGUGAGCUUCUUUUAAAGGGGAAGAAACCUCUGUACUCUUACGCAGUUGACGGUACCCUAGGAAUAAGCACCGGCUAACUCCGUG
RNAcentral lists this ribosomal RNA (489 nucleotides) under uncultured bacterium. Its description in RNAcentral is "partial 16S ribosomal RNA". It matches the Rfam family "Bacterial small subunit ribosomal RNA", at positions 28 to 507 of the family's 1533-position model. The record is from RNAcentral.